This 295-nucleotide ribosomal RNA is filed under the name uncultured eukaryote. Its description in RNAcentral is "partial 18S ribosomal RNA". It matches the Rfam family "Eukaryotic small subunit ribosomal RNA", at positions 1470 to 1796 of the family's 1831-position model. The record is from RNAcentral.
CCCUUAUAUGUCCUGGGCUGCACGCGUGCUACACUGAUGCAUACAACAAGUUCCUAGCCCGUCAGGGUGUGGUAAUCUCGAAUAUGCAUCGUGAUGGGGAUUGAACUUUGCAAUUAUAGUUCAUGAACGAGGAAUUCCUAGUAAAUGUAAGUCAUCAUCUUACAUUGAUUAUGUCCCUGCCCUUUGUACACACCGCCCGUCGCUCCUACCAAACCGGUUGAUGUGGUGAACACAUUGGACUCUCCGGAGGAAGAUUUGUAAACCUUAUCAAUACGAGGAAGGAGAANUCGUAACA